UACAGAGGGUGCAAGCGUUGUUCGGAAUUAUUGGGCGUAAAGCGCGUGUAGGCGGCUUUGCAAGUCGGGUGUGAAAGCCCUCAGCUCAACUGAGGAAGGGCGCCCGAAACUGCAGAGCUUGAGUGCCGGAGAGGGUGGCGGAAUUCCCCAAGUAGAGGUGAAAUUCGUAGAUAUGGGGAAGAACACCGGUGGCGAAGGCGGCCACCUGGACGGUAACUGACGCUGAGACGCGAAAGCGUGGGUAGCAAACAGG
This 253-nucleotide ribosomal RNA is filed under the name uncultured bacterium. Its description in RNAcentral is "partial 16S ribosomal RNA". It matches the Rfam family "Bacterial small subunit ribosomal RNA", at positions 524 to 776 of the family's 1533-position model. The record is from RNAcentral.